Molecule: long non-coding RNA, 1975 nt
Organism: Notolabrus celidotus (New Zealand spotty)
Lineage: Eukaryota; Metazoa; Chordata; Actinopteri; Labriformes; Labridae
Exons: 3
Source: RefSeq, a predicted model, not a curated record
AUUGUGAGUUAUACAUUUUUUAUGUGCUCUGUUUUGGGGGACAUAUUCUUCAACUGAGUAUGACUUGUUCCAUGGAGUUUUCUGCUUUACUUUCCAUUUCAAGAAUCAAUUGUAGUCGUGUAAUUCUCUCUUGUUGGUUUGGUUUGAGUUGGUCUGUUCUGGUUUGGAGCCGGGAUGACGAACACUGUAAUUUAAUCCAGAUUAAGACUGCAGAUUUUUUUUCCUUUUGCCCUUGUUGCCUCAUAUUAUUGUUCCAUCACGAAAGUCAUCGAGGUGGCUGCUAUCUGCAGUGGAUUAUGGGUCUGAAUUGAAACACUGAAAUGUUUUUUUCCUGAAAAUGUAUGCAUUUAUCAGUUUUGUUGCCAGUAGUAACGAGUGGAAUUGCAGUGCCAUGAUGUACUUGCAAUCAUCUAGGCAUCUCAUGCUGUUUUUGUGUUGUUGUUUCCUUCAAUAACGUGAAUAAUUCAGCAGAGAAAGAGGGAGGGUGGAGGCUCAGUCUGGUUGAGGGAAGCAGCGUUGCUUUCAUCAUCCUGCAGCACGCCUUCACUCACACAGCUGGUGGUUACAUAACAGCUAGGCUGCCUGUACUCACUCCUUCCUCCUGUGUCUCCCUUGAUUGUCAAUAUGUCAACUUAAACCUUCUACCCCACAGAACAAUUUAGAUGUCAUGUUGGAGUUUUUAGUGCAAAGUUUGAAUAGGUCAUGCUCGGGCUUCCCUUAGGGAGUGUCCCAGGCGUUGAAAAGUCAAAGAGUUCCUUUGAAUCUUAAAAUCAAUGUGAGUCUGAGUUUAACAGGAAGCAAAGAGGUCACAGGAUAAUUUACAAGACACUUUCUCAAUUUCACAAGUGACCUUUCACCGCUCAGAUCAUUUAUUAGUUUGACUGAGCCAACCUCUGUUGUCCUCACUUCAUUGGUUUCUUUAGAUUGUUCAACAAAAAUCCCUCUCUUCUUGUGAAGAAACAUUUUAUUGCUGUGCUAGUAAACGUUGAUAGCGCCCCAACAGUUGGAUACAGCAGUGAGUUGCUCUUAAGCCAAAAGUCCAAGAGUUGUUUUCUUUUCCUUUUGAUUUAUGCAGUCAUCCGAAUUCACUCAGUCUUACUCCACUGGUCUGGCUUCUUUUGAUCAAAUGUUUGUGCAUUGCUAAAUUGACACCCAGCAGAGGUUCAAGUUGGAGAAGAGUUUUUUCACUUUCAAUCUUUCCAGAAACAUUGCGAGGACCUGGGGAUCAAGAUUUUAUCAGCCCCUUUUGAGGAUGGAUUCUCCUCCUUCACAGCUGCACAGAUUUGUAGAACAUAUUUUUUUGUCUUUGCUUUCAGUGACCUAAACCUAAACCUGACUACUGACCGGCUUUACCAUUUACAUAUGUGGGGAAAAUGCAGUGUUUGCAUUAAUAACUGAGCAGGAUUUGGAUUUGUUCAAAAUUUGGCAAAAUAGUACAUUCUGUCAUCGGCAUAACAGGAUAACUUGAUUUUCUUUACAAAAAUUGCCUAUUGAAGUUAAAAAAAUAAACUCUUUCUUGCACCACCAGGACUCAACAGAACAACCAGCUCCUUUGUGACCUCAAGGUUAAAGGACAACCCUGCGUGAUAUCUGGGGACUACCUGGCUGCUUACCUGUCAAUUGCAAUUAUUAUCAACAUGUUUUGAGCGAAUAACAGUCAAUUGGUUAACUUUAUUGCUUGUCUGGACAUUAGCAAGUAUACCAUGAAUGCUAUUUUUUAUGCUGAUUCACUUGCUACCAAAAAUGUGGAUGUUAAUAGAUGAUUGCAGUAACUGGAUUUGCUUUGUAUGUAGUGGCAGGAAAUCAGACUGGUAUGAGAGUAUUUUUGUUUCUACACAUCACAGGCUGAGAGAUUGAAAAAUGUUAGAAUUGGUGGUAAAACUAGCUAGAUGCCAUGAAAUGCAUCAAAACCCUCCUAUUUCUGCUGAUUGAUUUACUUUAUCUGUAAUAAAGUUGAUGGCUGGGAAAUAUCUGU